UUAGCUAGUUGGUGGGGUAAAGGCCUACCAAGGCGACGAUCCAUAGCUGGUCUGAGAGGAUGAUCAGCCACAUUGGGACUGAGACACGGCCCAAACUCCUACGGGAGGCAGCAGUGGGGAAUAUUGGACAAUGGGCGCAAGCCUGAUCCAGCCAUGCCGCGUGAGUGAUGAAGGCCUUAGGGUUGUAAAGCUCUUUCACCGAUGAAGAUAAUGACGGUAGUCGGAGAAGAAGCCCCGGCUAACUUCGUGCCAGCAGCCGCGGUAAUACGAAGGGGGCUAGCGUUGUUCGGAAUUACUGGGCGUAAAGCGCACGUAGGCGGAUAUUUAAGUCAGGGGUGAAAUCCCGCAGCUCAACUGCGGAACUGCCUUUGAUACUGGGUAUCUUGAGUAUGGAAGAGGUAAGUGGAAUUCCGAGUGUAGAGGUGAAAUUCGUAGAUAUUCGGAGGAACACCAGUGGCGAAGGCGGCUUACUGGUCCAUU
This 480-nucleotide ribosomal RNA is filed under the name uncultured bacterium. Its description in RNAcentral is "bacterial SSU rRNA". It matches the Rfam family "Bacterial small subunit ribosomal RNA", at positions 241 to 738 of the family's 1533-position model. The record is from RNAcentral.